RNAcentral lists this ribosomal RNA (471 nucleotides) under uncultured bacterium. RNAcentral's name for it is "bacterial SSU rRNA". It matches the Rfam family "Bacterial small subunit ribosomal RNA", at positions 28 to 514 of the family's 1533-position model. The record is from RNAcentral.
GACGAACGCUGGCGGCGCGCCUAACACAUGCAAGUCGAACGAGCGAGAGAGAGUUUACUUUUUCGAGCGAGUGGCGAACGGGUGAGUAACGCGUGAGCAACCUGCCUUUCAGUGGGGGACAACAGUUGGAAACGACUGCUAAUACCGCAUGAAGCAUAAUGAUCGCAUGGUCGAUAUGCCAAAGAUUUAUUGCUGAAAGAUGGGCUCGCGUCUGAUUAGAUAGUUGGCGGUGUAACGGACCACCAAGACGACGAUCAGUAGCCGGCUUGAGAGAGUGAACGGCCACAUUGGGACUGAGACACGGCCCAAACUCCUACGGGAGGCAGCAGUGGGGAAUAUUGCACAAUGGGGGAAACCCUGAUGCAGCAACGCCGCGUGAGUGAAGAAGUAUUUCGGUAUGUAAAGCUCUAUCAGCAGGGAAGAAAAUGACGGUACCUGACUAAGAAGCCCCGGCUAACUACGUGCCAGCAG